UUGGAAUUUCCCUCAGCAGCACUU
RNAcentral lists this unclassified non-coding RNA (24 nucleotides) under Mus musculus (house mouse). Its description in RNAcentral is "oocyte_clustered_small_RNA239". The record is from RNAcentral. Lineage: Eukaryota; Metazoa; Chordata; Mammalia; Rodentia; Muridae.